CGCCUUGUGUUCCGUAAUUUCGGAGUUCAUUACGUUUUUGUUUGGGCUCGCAUUGCUCGUAUUGCUCGUCUAUUAUAUUUCUGAGUAGUGUUUUGUUUAUUGAUAUUCUUUUGACCAUAAGCCAUUCAAUUCAUAAAUAAAAUGACAAGAUUCGUAUGUUUUGCUGUGGUAAGGUAUGAAUAUGAUUUAAUAUGCUUAAUGUCGUCUAUUCUACCGCAGUGCGGUGUAUGUAACUUAUUGCUUACCCUUCCGGAGCACCUGAGAUCACUCCUAGUUUUUUGGUGGGGUUCGUGUUGUUUAUUCUUUAGUCUUCUAUGUUGUGUCGUGUGUGCUAUUGUUUGUUUGUCCUUUUCAUUUUUAGCCAUGGC
RNAcentral lists this long non-coding RNA (368 nucleotides) under Mytilus galloprovincialis (Mediterranean mussel). The record is from RNAcentral. Lineage: Eukaryota; Metazoa; Mollusca; Bivalvia; Mytilida; Mytilidae.